GAUGAACGCUGGCGGCGUGCUUAACACAUGCAAGUCGAACGGGAAACUUUUCAUUGAAGCUUCGGCAGAUUUGGUCUGUUUCUAGUGGCGGACGGGUGAGUAACGCGUGGGUAACCUGCCUUAUACAGGGGGAUAACAACCAGAAAUGGUUGCUAAUACCGCAUAAGCGCACAGGACCACAUGGUCCGGUGUGAAAAACUCCGGUGGUAUAAGAUGGACCCGCGUUGGAUUAGCUAGUUGGCAGGGCAACGGCCUACCAAGGCGACGAUCCAUAGCCGGCCUGAGAGGGUGAACGGCCACAUUGGGACUGAGACACGGCCCAGACUCCUACGGGAGGCAGCAGUGGGGAAUAUUGCACAAUGGGGGAAACCCUGAUGCAGCGACGCCGCGUGAAGGAAGAAGUAUCUCGGUAUGUAAACUUCUAUCAGCAGGGAAGAUAGUGACGGUAC
This 449-nucleotide ribosomal RNA is filed under the name uncultured bacterium. RNAcentral describes it as "bacterial SSU rRNA". It matches the Rfam family "Bacterial small subunit ribosomal RNA", at positions 28 to 478 of the family's 1533-position model. The record is from RNAcentral.